Molecule: ribosomal RNA, 419 nt
Filed under: uncultured bacterium
Lineage: Bacteria
Description: bacterial SSU rRNA
Rfam family: Bacterial small subunit ribosomal RNA
Source: RNAcentral
UGGGGAAUAUUGGGCAAUGGGCGCAAGCCUGACCCAGCAACGCCGCGUGAAGGAAGAAGGCCCUCGGGUUGUAAACUUCUUUUGUCAGGGACGAAGAAAGUGACGGUACCUGACGAAUAAGCCACGGCUAACUACGUGCCAGCAGCCGCGGUAAUACGUAGGUGGCAAGCGUUAUCCGGAUUUACUGGGUGUAAAGGGCGUGUAGGCGGGAUGGUAAGUCAGAUGUGAAAACUCAGGGGCUCAACCCUGAGCCUGCAUUUGAAACUAUCGUUCUUGAGUGUUGGAGAGGCAGGCGGAAUUCCGUGUGUAGCGGUGAAAUACGUAGAUAUACGGAGGAACACCAGUGGCGAAGGCGGCCUGCUGGACAAUAACUGACGCUGAGGCGCGAAAGCGUGGGGAGCAAACAGGAUUAGAUACCC